UUAUAAUUUUUCUGAUGCUAAACAGAACUAUUCACAGCAGUAAUAAUAAUAAUGGUCCCUCACAUGUCUUGUAUACUUAACAAUUUCUGGAUCUUUCCUUUACCUAUGUUAACCUAGCUUGUAGCUCCAUGCCCAGCCGCCCACGCUAUUAAUUAAAUCAGGCUUGAGGCUCAGCAAUCAGUAUGGACGCUUCGACUCGAGCUGCUUUAACCUCGGCUUUAACAGUAAUAGAAGCGGAGGAGGUUGUUCUGCCUGGAGGAGAGCUAAAGAAAGGGCCAGUAUACGUCAGUAUAGUACAAGAUACCAUUACCGAGACCAUUACUGAUAUUAUCCAGUACUCGUCCACCACUGAACAGUUAAAGAUGUGAUUAAGACUCAUUUAUUGACUCCUGGCUUCAUUGACUUACACAUUCAUGGAUUAGGUGGAACCAAUGAUGUGAUAGAUUUCUGGUCAAACCCAGGCUACACACUCUCUCGUCUGCCAAUGGGAGGUACCACAAGUUGCCUAGCAACCAUUGUCCUACCUAAGAGCUCAUCACUCUACAAUUAUUUGAUAAGUUAAAAGACGUUAUUGGUAGGACUGAUACUGGCAGUGCAGUACUGGAAAGAA
Molecule: long non-coding RNA, 610 nt
Organism: Amphimedon queenslandica
Lineage: Eukaryota; Metazoa; Porifera; Demospongiae; Haplosclerida; Niphatidae
Exons: 3
Source: RefSeq, a predicted model, not a curated record